AAAUGAAGAACAGGAUCUGAGUGAGGACUGGCACUGUGCAGCGAGACAAGCAAAGAGGGAGAGCGAGGGAGCGAGAAAGGACGGACAUGAGAGGACAGAGAGCGAAGUGGCUGUGGUGGUGGAGGGGGGAGUCCUCCAGCCUGUCGAAAAGGAAGCCACACAGAAACGGGCAAGGAGAGAGAAGGGGAGCGCUCAGCACAGUAUGAUUUUUGCUUCUUCUUCAACAUGGAAAAAUGAACACCAGGAAGACUGGGGCAAAAGGUUUUUUUUUUCAUUUUUGAGUUGUCACAAUCAUCUGAUGCACGAUGAUUUUGAGCAUGUUUGAUUCUGCCAAGACAUGGCCUCAGCAGCAGGGUGAAAGAGGUGGCAUUCCAAAGUGGUGGCUGUUGGACAAUUUAGCAGCAUUUCAUAACAAUUUCCCAAAAUGGAAUCAUAAGAUGAUCUUCAAAUGCCAACGUUCCCCAUCAAAACCUGUCGCACCGACCCAUGCCGUUUUCUUCAUGUUCCGUAAUCCAUUCUCUUUGAAACAUGGGAACAUUGUGCAUGACAUGGUGCACCACAGAAAAGAUGGCAAUCCACUGUGUGGCUUCUUUUUUUUUUAAUGGGACUGAAGCGACAUUAAAGUUGUCUAUUUUAAAAUGACUGAAAAAAUGCCAUUCAGAGUGUUAUAUUCUGCUUUCUAUGGCUCACAGCGACCCUGCUCAAGACAAGAGGUUGUGGACAAGGGAAUGGAAUGGAAGGGAAUGUGCAAGACAGGUCAUGUUUCUCCUGUGCAUCAAGCAGCACUGCAGUGUAAUAGAAGAAAAAAUAAAAAGAAGAGAAAAACCUGCUGGUUGAGAGCA
This 842-nucleotide long non-coding RNA is filed under the name Scleropages formosus (Asian bonytongue). RNAcentral's name for it is "lncRNA (ENSSFOG00015028990.1)". Lineage: Eukaryota; Metazoa; Chordata; Actinopteri; Osteoglossiformes; Osteoglossidae. The record is from RNAcentral.